GAACGCUGGCGGUAUGCCUUACACAUGCAAGUCGUACGAGAGUUUCUAACUCAAGUGGCGGACGGGUGAGUAACACGUAAGAAUUUGCCUUUAGGAGGGGGAUAACAACUGGAAACGGUUGCUAAUACCCCAUAUGCUUUCGAGUGAAAUGGUUUUUCCGCCUAAAGAGAAGCUUGCGGCUGAUUAGCUUGUUGGUGAGGUAAUGGCUCACCAAGGCGACGAUCAGUAUCUGGUUUGAGAGGACGAUCAGACACACUGGAACUGAGACACGGUCCAGACUCCUACGGGAGGCAGCAGUGGGGAAUUUUCCGCAAUGGGCGAAAGCCUGACGGAGCAAUACCGCGUGAGGGAUGACUGCCUAUGGGUUGUAAACCUCUUUUUUCAGGGAGGAAUAAAAUGACGUGUACCUGAAGAAUAAGCAUCGGCUAACUCCGUGCCAGCAGCCGCGGUAAG
This 453-nucleotide ribosomal RNA is filed under the name uncultured bacterium. Its description in RNAcentral is "bacterial SSU rRNA". It matches the Rfam family "Bacterial small subunit ribosomal RNA", at positions 31 to 524 of the family's 1533-position model. The record is from RNAcentral.